This 460-nucleotide ribosomal RNA is filed under the name uncultured bacterium. RNAcentral's name for it is "partial 16S ribosomal RNA". It matches the Rfam family "Bacterial small subunit ribosomal RNA", at positions 338 to 795 of the family's 1533-position model. The record is from RNAcentral.
CCUACGGGAGGCAGCAGUGAGGAAUAUUGGUCAAUGGGCGCGAGCCUGAACCAGCCAAGUCGCGUGAGGGAAGACGGCCCUACGGGCUGUAAACCUCUUUUGCCGGGGAGCAACGGGCGCCACGUGUGGCGCCACUGAGAGUACCCGGAGAAAAAGCAUCGGCUAACUCCGUGCAAGCAGCCGCGGUAAUACGGAGGAUGCGAGCGUUAUCCGGAUUUAUUGGGUUUGAGGGGUGCGUAGGGGGACGGUUAAGUCAGUGGUAAAAUUGAGGGGCUCAACCCCUUCCCGCCAUUGAAACUGGCGCUCUUGAGUGGAAGAGAAGUAAGCGGAAGGCGUGGUGUAGCGGUGAAAUGCAUAGAUAUCACGCAGAACCCCGAUUGCGAAGGCGGCAUGCCGGCUUCCUACUGACGCUGAAGAACGAAAGCGUGGGGAGCGAACAGGAUUAGAUACCCCUGUAGUC